AUGAAGGCCCUAUCUUCCCUGUUACUUCUUGUGGGAUGGGAGAUAUGGAAUGAAAGGAAUGCUCGUGUCUUCAGGAGCAAAGCGGCGCCGGUGGUGAUAGUCAUGCGACGCAUCAAAGAGGAAGUUUCGAUUUGA
This 135-nucleotide ribosomal RNA is filed under the name Triticum aestivum (bread wheat). Its description in RNAcentral is "partial small subunit ribosomal RNA". The record is from RNAcentral. Lineage: Eukaryota; Viridiplantae; Streptophyta; Magnoliopsida; Poales; Poaceae.